This 234-nucleotide long non-coding RNA is filed under the name Nicotiana benthamiana. Its description in RNAcentral is "long non-coding RNA (NBEN_LNC000984)". The record is from RNAcentral. Lineage: Eukaryota; Viridiplantae; Streptophyta; Magnoliopsida; Solanales; Solanaceae.
GUUAGGGUUCCGAAGUUGGAGAACAGUUUGGACCUGUCUGGUGAGAUCUUGUAGCUUAGAGCGGGAAUACUUAUGAUAAGUUGAACGGAGGUGGUCGACUAGUUCUUCAACGGAGAGAAAAUCGUCCUUACAUGACUCAAUGUGGCGGCGAAGCUCGCCUGAAACUGGCCCGCUGCCGCUGCGUCCUCUCCUUCCCAUCGUCUUUUCCGGCAGCCGCCGACGCCUACUGCUAAA